This 72-nucleotide transfer RNA is filed under the name Ovis aries (sheep). It matches the Rfam family "tRNA". From Rfam's summary of the family: Transfer RNA (tRNA) molecules are approximately 80 nucleotides in length. Their secondary structure includes four short double-helical elements and three loops (D, anti-codon, and T loops). The record is from Rfam by way of RNAcentral. Lineage: Eukaryota; Metazoa; Chordata; Mammalia; Artiodactyla; Bovidae.
GUGUUGGGGGUACAGUGGUGAGCUCAGCUCUGUUCGAAGCAGUUGUCCCAGGUUUGAUUCCUGGCCAACACA